GCCAGGCAUGGUGGCGCAUGCCUGUAAUCCUAGCUACUCGGGAGGCUGAGGCAGGAGAAUCACUUGAACCUGGGAGGCGGAGGUUGAGGUGAGCUGAGAUCGAGCCACUGCACACCAGCCUGGGUGACAAAGUGAGACUCUGUCUCAA
This is an unclassified non-coding RNA of Macaca fascicularis (crab-eating macaque), 148 nucleotides long. It matches the Rfam family "Metazoan signal recognition particle RNA". From Rfam's summary of the family: The signal recognition particle (SRP) is a universally conserved ribonucleoprotein. Lineage: Eukaryota; Metazoa; Chordata; Mammalia; Primates; Cercopithecidae. The record is from Ensembl.